This is a long non-coding RNA of Brassica napus (rape), 10498 nucleotides long. RefSeq lists it as uncharacterized. The record is from RefSeq and is a predicted model, not a curated record. The transcript has 4 exons. Lineage: Eukaryota; Viridiplantae; Streptophyta; Magnoliopsida; Brassicales; Brassicaceae.
AAAUAGAUUUUAAUUUUAGGUUGAACUAUUAUGAGGUGAAAAUAUAUUAAAAUUUUAUUUAUAACUAAUUUAUAUAUAAACUACUGUAAGUUAUUUUUUGAAACUAAUUAUAUUUACAACUAUAUUUUUUGAGUGUUUUUAAACAUUUCGUAAAUAUAAUGUGGAGUUCAUCGGUUAUAAUUUAUAACUAGAACUUGACCCGCACCCCUGUGCGGGUGUUUGAUUUAAUUUGUCUUCAACGUAAACUCAUAAAUCGUUGGUUUUAUUAAAAAUAUCCAUAUAUUUUUUUUUAUGUUUUGUAAUUUACAUAUAUAGUAGAAUAUAUUAUUUUAUAAUAUAAUUUUUUAAUAAUAUAUUUUUAUUUUGUACAUAAUACUAUAUUAAUUUUUUUAUAAAUUGAUGCAGUUUGAUGUAAUUAUACUAUUUAUCUGUUGUUAUUUUUGUUAAUUUAUUUUAAAAUGAAACAACAUACUAAAAAUAAUAAUUGUUUGCAUUAGUUUUCUAUGAAUUAUUAUUAAUUUUAUGAUAUUUUGUUUUCUUGAAAAUUUGAACUCUCUAAAUUUUUAUAUUUGACUAAAUUAAAUAAGGUAAUAUUGUACUUAAAAGUUGUUUUAUAUAAUAUAUACUAUAUAUAUUAGUUUGUGUUUUUAAUUUCACCACAAAGAAACAACAAUCAUUAUAAUUAAUUAAUUUAAAUUUAUUUUAAAUGUAGUGGUAGAAUCUGUAAAUAAAAAGAAAUAUAAAAGAAAGUAGUUAAUUUAUUGUAAAUGCAAUGGUUAAAUGUGUAAAUAAAAGAAAAUAUUUAAUCUGCUAUCCAUGUUUUCAAACAAUUUUCAUUUAUUCUACUAUCCAUUUUUGUAUUUUUUUUCAGUUCGAUUCGCGGUUCCGAAAAAAUGUUCCCAACCUAUACAUUAUCUCAUAGAGAAAUUAGUAAAUAUUUAAACUGAAAAUCCCAAUUUAUCCGAUAUUUUAUUUUGUCUAUAAAUCUGUAACCCCCCAAAAAUCUAGAAUCAAACCAAAAUUUAAUUGGACCCCAUUUUGUUUUUUUUUGCAUAUUAGUCGGUCCUCAACUUUUCUAUUGAACUGAACCAAAAACCGAAAUAAUCUAACUGAAACCAAACCAAACCAAACCAAACCAGACAUUGUAAAUACAUGAACGUUUCUAGAACCAAAACACCAAAAAAGAAAAAACAGAAUCUGAAGACUGAUAGUGCAUCUACAAUUAAAUUGCGAAAAAACAUUCUAACUUUAUAAAUUAUUUAACUCUUUUUAGUGGAGUACAUAUGUGGUUUAUAAAUGAAUUAAGAUGUGAGCAAUGUUUUUAUAUCCGAUCCAAACUUGUGGUCGAACUCGUUAACUCAGUGGCCAUAAAUCAUCCGGACUGGCUUAUGUUCUUCAUGUACCAUUCUAUUAUAGGUUCUACCAACUGAUAUGUUUCCAUAAAAUUCAGAUUUAUGAAUAACUAUUAAUUGUAGUCUGAUAAAACCCAUAAACUCGUCAUUUACCUAUGAACCAACAUCGGUUGAUUAAGAAAAAAACCUAGGAAAAUCUUAUAAUAUUUUUUACAAAAUUAACUAACUACUCAUAUACUUUAUAAUAGUAUUUAAAACUGAAUAAAUUAUUUAAUUUUUCAUAUAAAUAAAUGUAAUGUAUUUAUAUUAUGCAUUUUAAUUUAUAGUUUUUUUAAUGAUCAAUAGUAUUACAAUUUUAAUCAAUUUUUAGUGUGUAUAAUUUAUAUGUUUUAAUAGUAUAGAUAUUUAUAUCAGUUUUGGACUUGCACAUAGACUACUAAUAUAUAGGACAACUGGCUUUCAAAGGUUUCUCGAGAAAAGAAUAGUAGUUUUAGUGAUGCUUAUUUUCUUUGAUAGUUAUUUGUUAUGCAGAUUAUGUAUUGAUCACAAAUCCACAAUCUCCGUAAACUCUAUGAAAAAUAUUCUUCAUAAAUUUUGUUAACAUUAUUACCUAUUUAGAAAAUUAGUUAAGUGUUGUUUUGAACCUUUGAUGAAAUUUACUUAAAUUAAUUAUUUUAAAUAUUUAGUUCGGUUCAAAUCAUGGCAUUAUUAAGUAACACAUAUCUUUGCCCGGUUAGACUUGUUCCUGAAUCCAAAUCUACGUUAAAUAUAGAAAUCUGUUAAUAGAUCUCGUUAGCAAAUGAUAGUACACUAUCUGUAUAUUUAAUAUAGAGAUAAAGAUAUUUUAGAUGUGAACAAAUAUUUUCAAGAUCUGUAUUUAAUAAAUUGUUCACGUAUUAGUGUUUUUAGAAAAAGCUAAUGUGCUAAAUUAAUUGUAACAUGAGUAAACUCAAACGGUAGAUUAUGUAUUACUGAAAUUUAUAUUAUAAGAGACAACUAUAAAAAAAUAUAUACUGUAAUUUAUAAUACAAGAGAAAUUUAUAAAAAAAAAUAGAUUUUAAUUUUAGGUUGAACUAUUAUGAGGUGAAAAUAUAUUAAAAUUUUAUUUAUAACUAAUUUAUAUAUAAAAUACUGUAAGUUAUUUUUUGAAACUAAUUAUAUUUACAACUAUAUUUUUUGAGUGUUUUUAAACAUUUCGUAAAUAUAAUGUGGAGUUCAUCGGUUAUAAUUUAUAACUAGAACUUGAUCCGCACCCCCGUGCGGGUGUUUGAUUUAAUUUGUCUUCAACGUAAACUCAUAAAUCGUUGGUUUUAUUAAAAAUAUCCAUAUAUAUUUUUUUAUGUUUUGUAAUUUACAUAUAUAGUAGAAUAUAUUAUUUUAUAAUAUAAUUUUUUAAUAAUAUAUUUUUAUUUUGUACAUAAUACUAUAUUAAUUUUUUUAUAAAUUGAUGCAGUUUGAUGUAAUUAUACUAUUUAUCUGUUGUUGUUUUUGUUAAUUUAUUUUAAAAUGAAACAACAUACUAAAAAUAAUAAUUGUUUGCAUUAGUUUUCUAUGAAUUAUUAUUAAUUUUAUGAUAUUUUGUUUUAUUGAAAAGUUGAACUCUCUAAAUUUUUAUAUUUGACUAAAUCAAAUAAGGUAAUAUUGUACUUGAAAGUUGUUUUAUAUAAUAUAUACUAUAUAUAUUAGUUUGUGUUUUUAAUUUCACCACAAAGAAACAACAAUCAUCAUAAUUAAUUAAUUUAAAUUUAUUUUAAAUGUAGUGGUAGAAUCUGUAAAUAAAAAGAAAUAUAAAAGAAAGUAGUUAAUUUAUUGUAAAUGCAAUGGUUAAAUGUGUAAAUAAAAGAAAAUAUUUAAUCUGCUAUCCAUGUUUCCAAACAAUUUUCAUUUAUUCUACUAUCCAUGUUUCCAAAUAUUACCAAAAUGUACUUUAGUUUUAAUAAUAUAGAUGUAGGAAGCGUAAAUAUAACUAUAAAAUGAAUAACAUGAAAUACAAUAAUUUGGCACAUGAUGUAAUGAAAUUUACAUAUCUAAUAUAAUUUGGUUAAGAAGAUAGAAUGAACCGUGAGUUUGGUCAUAAAAGUAAGCCCAUGCGUAAUAAUAUAUUUUGACAGGUGUAUUAGGCAGUUAGAAGAUAUUAAAUUAAAAAUGAAAAGGCACAGUAACUUUUCAUAGGUUGAUUUUUUAAGAAUCUUUUUCUUUUAAUAAUAUAAACUAGAUUUUGAUCCGCGGUUCAAAAACGCGGAUUUUUUUCAUUGUUUUGGUUUUGAUGUUUCAAAGUAUAUUAUUAAGUUACAAAAUUAUAUAAUUUAUUAAAUAGUUUAUUUUAGAAUUUAUACGCACAUUCUUAUGUUACAACGUCAUCAUUGCAUUUUGUGUAUUUAUCAAAUAGUGUUACAUUUGUUGAGUUGAUGAGUCAAAAAAAAUUAUUUGGCAGAUUUUGAGCUAAUCUAAUAGUAUAUAUUUGUAGAAUUUUUAAUAGUUUUAGCGGUGUUUUCAUACAUGACCCAACCCUACAGUAUCAAAAGUAAAUCAGGUGAUUCGUAUAUAAUUCGGUAUGAAUUUUGUUAAAACCUUAAAUAUAGAAAUCUGAUAAAACUCGGUGAAAACGUAAAAAUCUAUAAUUAACCCGCUAUCAAAUAUUGGUUGACCCGAUAAAAUCCCAUAUAAAUCGGAUGAUAUUUUUCAAAAAUUAAUUCAAACUUUUGAAUCAAGCUUUGAAGCGCGGAAUUGAUACUUUUUCAAAAAAGGAAAAUCUUGUUUAACUAAGGUAUUCCAAACCUAGUGAAGAGUUUAUACCAAUCUCAAUGUGUUUUGUCGAUAAACAUAACUUUUCUCUAGAUUUUCAAAUGAGGCCAUAUAUCUUCUAUAUGUAAUAAAAAGUAUAAUUUUAUAAAUAAUUUAUAUGUUGCCUUUUUUUCAAAAAAAAAAUAAUUUAUAUGUUUUAACAUUUCCUAUGAUUUAUGUUUAAAUUUGUGUAUUAAAUUUAUUUUGCUAUUUUAAUUGAACUAUAAUUUUAGAGAUUUUGGAUAAUUUUUACUCAUAUUAUGAGUCUCUUUGUUUAACCUAUUUUAGCUAACUGUUAACAAUUUAUUUUUAUCAAACAAAAUACAUUAAUUUUAUUUAUAAAUAUUCUGACUUGCAAUAUUUUCAAACUAUAAAUCAAAAUUGAUUAUUUCACCUUUAAUAUUUUUAAAUUUUAUAUUUUAAAGUAAAUUAUAUUAUAAAUAUAUGAAUAUGUGUUAUGAUGUAUGCAUAAUUAUUUUAAAAUAGAUCACGAAUGAUAUAUAUCAUGUACAACCGUUUACACACGUUGAAAACCAGAAAUAUAGAACUUACAUUAAUUCUUACAAAAUUGUAAUAAAUUAUAUUCAUAUUUUAGAUUAUAAGAUACUGUAUAAAAAUAUAAGUAUGUGUUGUCAAUAAAAAAAACUUAUAUAAUCAGCGAUAUGGGCAACAGUUCAACCAUGUAUAUAAUUUUUAAGGGAAUAUAUAUAUAUAUAUAUAUAUAUAUAUAUAUAUAAUUUUAGUACAUUUAAUUACGUAAGAAAUGAAUGUAUGAGUACCAAUAGGGUGAUACAAUUCAGAAUAUUUUCCUUAGCUAAAAUCUCUUCAAAAUCUAUUCUAAUAUAUAGUAUUUAUGAUUGAUAUAAAUUUGAAUAUUUAUAUUCUUAAUGUUGGUAGGAUAUAUUUAUUAACAGUAAAUAGGUAUAUUUGGUAAGUUGCUAGACAGAAGAAUAAUUGUGUAAAUCUCGUCUAAAUUUUAAAAUGUUUUGCGUGAACCAUAUCAACAUGAUACAAAAUCAAUUUGGUAGAUUAAUUGUAAAAAAAAGCUAAUAGUCAUGAAAAUAUAUGUUUUUGCAUUUAAUUAUAUAUUUUUAUUUUAAAUUAAAAUUCAUUUGGAAGAAUUUAAUAAUUUGUGAGAACUAUUAAAUAUAUCAUAUAAUAUUUCAUGAAUCUGACAAUAUAUAGAUUUAUUAAGUUUAAAAAAAUUAUAGUUUUGAGAUUACAUAUAAUCUAUAUAGGGUUUAAGUGUUUUUGGUAUUGGGUUUAGUUUUUAUUAAAAACUUAAGAAGAUGGUGAGAUAAAAAUAAUAAUGAAAACAGUGUUCAGUUAUCUAUUCAUGUAGCCUACGAAAAUACAAAGUAAACCAAAAUAUUGAUUUAAUUCUUAUAGUCCAAAAUGAAUCUUGAGUUAGCUGUGCACCUUGUGGUAUGUAUCGAAAGUAAUAAUAGUCGAUGUGCUAUGUAACACUAAUGGUUUUUAUGUGAAUAAGUCAAAUUUGAAUAAGAGUAUUGACAUAUAUUCAUAUAUGGCUGCAUUCUCCGUUGUCCAUAGUCAAAGAGAAGCAUUAAAUACACGUAUAUGGUUCAGGGGAUAAACGUUGUGAGAAAAUCGGAGCACAAGUGAGCCAAAAACUGAUUGUGGUCCAUGGAAUCAUCUUGCUAUCUUUAACAGCUGCAAAUACAUAUGAUCCACAGUCAUGUGACCACCCUAGUUAGACUCUAGCUCCGCCACUGGUCAGAAGCUAGGGGACGCAGCUUAGUGUUUAGUUUAUAUGGUGGGAUAUAUCUAUUUCAAUCUGAUUCAAAUCCAUUACGGUAAGAUUAAUCUAACUUUUUCAUCAAUUGAUAUAUUUCAUGAUAGUUUUUCCAUCAAUCUUCAUAGGUUUGUGUGAUGAGUUACAAAAUAGGAUUUGGAACAAAGCCAAAGUUUAUCCGUGAGAGACGUCUCAAGUCAGCCAACUCAACCAACCAAAUCCAGUUUAACACACACUGCUAGAUCAAUACAAUCCACCUGCUCAGGGAUCAGGAAAGCUGGUGAACUGAUGGGCAUCGAUAUGCUGCUCUUGGAUGAUCAGGUUCAUUUUUUGGUGUCGAAACACUUGAAUUGGGCUCAAAUCUGAUCAAGAUUAGCGAGAAGAUUGGAGAUUAGUGGAAACUAAAAGAGAAGAAAGGAUAUGUAGGAUUAUCACAAGAUGAUGCUACCAUCAAAUGGCUCUUUGGAAGUGAUAGAAAGCUCUGCUACCACCACCCUUAAUUCGGUGGUGAGUCUAAUGAAAGUUGUUAGAGCACGGUGGAGAAGUGGUGGCAUUGUAUUGGCGAGUGAUGGCCGUAACGGUAGAUUGAAUCACCAGGAAGCGGUGUGCUCAUGGCAUGGCUGUGAUGGUUGUGUGAUUUUCCAAAAAAAUACAGAGGAGACAAAGAAACAGACGCCGAGAAGAGAUGAGUUUUUGCAUCAGCAAUUUUUGUAUUCAGAAGCCAUGGAGGCCAGAUCGAAGGUGUAUAUAAGGACGUGUCGGCAAAGCCAGAAAAAAGUGUUAUUACUUAAUCGACAAGAAGCCUAAAGCCUUAAUGAACUCAAAAAUAUCAGUGUGUGAAAGCAAAUUUGGAAGUGUGCUGGCUAGAGUUAGUAGAAUCAUAUCACGAUCAAGUUAUAUAUGGGUAAGAACGCAUUGCACAGAAUCCAUAUCACUUGAAUUUUUCUCAUUCCAAGUAUUCCAUCCCAAAUUUUAUAUAAAUUACAGAAAGUCACUGUAUUAUUAAUCCCCCCCCCCCCUUUGAGUUUCACAUAAUGAAUAUAACAGCCUCAUCGAAGGGUUUUUCAAGAAAGAUUUCAUGACGGCCCAGAGAAAGAAAAUAGUGACUAAGAUGUCUAUGAAAAGAUAUUAAUGCAAAGAAGACACAUAAAGUGGAAGAUAUUAUAGCUAAUUUUUUUUUGUUCAGACCAAGAUUGCAUAUUUGUAAAUAAUAUAAUUAGAUCGAUAAUUCUAUUUUAUCACUAAACCAAAAAAAAUUAUAGCUUAUCUAUAUAAAUUAUAAAAGAUUGUAUUUAAGAUUGGAGACAAUUAUCCAAUUAUUUCAAAAUUAAAUUAAAAAUUCAGUUGUAAAUUAAAAAAUAUAUAUUCAUAAAAACUUAAACGAACAAGAUAAAAGACUAUUUGAACAUAUGUCAAAUUUAAUUAACUUUUUAUUCAUGUAGCUUGCUUUUUUUUUUUGAAACACAACUUAAUUAAUAUCAUAGGAAGAGUUAGGUGGUGGCCAUUAAGGCUUCACCCUCUACAUGGCCUUGCUUUGCUAGAGCAUCUGCAUCAGCAUUUAAGUCUCUAGGAAUCCAACCAAAGGCGAUUACAUCAAAGUAAACAAAGGAAUCAAAGAUAUCGGCCACAAUGCCAUAAAUUUCUAGGGGGACCUCCCCUCCACUGAGGGCUUUGACGAGUUGCAGCGAAUCCGCCUCACAUACCAGUCGCUUGUGUCCCAAGAUUCGAGCCUCUUGAAUUGCUUGUCUCAUUGCCAUAGCUUCUGCUGUAAGAGCUGAUCCCACCGAGCUACCUGUAGAAAAACUAGCAACAUCAACAUCUUGUCUUUUGAUGGUCCAUCCAAAUCCCGCUUGUUGAGAUGAAGCUCUCCAAGCAGCGUCUGCUCUCAACACAGAACAGUUUUGUGGGAAUAGUUCUCUAAGGUACUUCUUUUGUUGCGGCGUAGCUUUCUUUUCUUGGGCAUCUGUCCAUUCCUUCGCCAUUUUCAGAGCUCUGAUAAUGGUUUCCUCCUCUGCUAUUCAUGUAGCUUGCUUUCUUGAAUAUUAUUUUCAGUUAUGAAAAUUCAAAAAUAUGAAUAUCGAAGUUGGUUCAUCAUAGUAUAACAAAAUCAUUUUUUUUCUUUACCUACCAUUAUGUAUUUACCAUUAUGUAUUGUGUAACCGGUUCCUUGAAUAUUGAAGAUAUAUUUAUAUAAAAUGAAACCAAGAAAAUGAAAAAUUAAAUUUCAAAUUAUAGAAAAUCCCGGGCAUAGCCCGGGCUAACCUCUAGUCUGGACAAUCCGGGCUAACCUCUAGUCUGGAGAAACGCAAAAAGAAUGAUGAAAAGAAAAGCUUAAGUAAUCUUGAUGGGUCGACAAAAGAAAAUGUUGAUGGGUGUCAACCUUUGACACAAGUUAGAAAAUGGUAAUUAAAACCUUAGCCAUAAAGGAAGGGAUAUAAUAUUUAUGAAUGUUGGUGAUAAUUAUCUGAAUGCUAGUGAUAGUUAUGAUAUGUUCUGUUUUCUUUUUCCGUCAGCUGAUUUAUAUUAGAACAUGGAUGAAAUAUUAGACACAAAAUAUCACACAUCGGUAGUUAGAAGCAUGGUCGGGCCUGAGUUUUGUAGGCCUCCAAGCACAUAAUAUAUUUUUGGCCCUUCAGUAACUUAAUUUGGAAAAAAUAACAUUAAAAAUCAUGAUCACAGGUUCGAACCGACGGCCCUUCUACUUCUGAUUUCUUCCAAGACUAGUAGAGCUGCGAUUUUCUGAAAUUAAAUGGCCUUAGUAUAAUUAUAAACUUCACGGCCCCAAGCAUAUGCUUGGUCAGCUUUUACUCAGGCCCGACCCUGGUUAGAAGGGACCUUAAGUAAUAUAUAAGAUUGAUGGACCAAUUCACUUAUCACUAAUUUGUUUUAGGUUGGAAGCACAUCUAGCUUAACAUGGUAUCAGAGCCCGAUCCACGUAGUCCAACCCAAUCACAUCGAUAUGGCCCAAAGUUGGCCCAUCGAUCCUUGUCCGAAAUUGACGCUCAAAGAGCCAUCAUCUCGAGUGGGAGUUUUAGACACAAAGUGCCCCACAUCGGUCUUUGAAAGGGAUUCUAAAUAAUAUAUAAAAUAGAUGGACCAAUCCUCUUAUCACCAAUUGGUUUUAGGUUGGAAGCCCAUCUAGCUUAACAUGGAAUACAUAACCGGAACAAAGUGAAAUUUCUGGAACUUGAACCCAUACGAGGGCAAAUUAAGCCAAAAAAAAGCAAGGUCUUACCUCUACACCCACAUACAUUAAUGUUUAAAGGCCAAAGAUAAAUAGUUAAGAGCCUAAAACAAUCGGAUAACUUGCGAAGAACAACACUCAGACAAGUGAGCAAGCGACGUGAAGGACAUAAAAGACCGAAACUUAUCUGAACCUCCAAUCACGAUGAAGAUCUGAAGAGCCAGAACCACGCAAAUUAGCAUCACACCCGAGACAAACCCCUCCACAACCGCAUCUUCAUCCAGUUGAACCAACACCUCGACCUCUAUAUAUUGUUUCAAACAUCCAAGACAAAGCCACUGAGGAAUUAAGGGAGAAGCAAGUAAACCAGGAACGACCCUUAUUGAAAGAUGCGACGAGGACUCCUUCGUGAUAGGAAAUGAAGAGGUGACUUAACAAACUUCAUCACAACAAAGAUGCUAACCCUGUUCUGCUCACGAACACACCAAGACGCCACCGCAGACACCGUCAAGACUAACUAGAAGUAUUUCUGAGCCAAACAAUGCUAAAGUGGGGACAUGCUCUCAACUUCACACAGAAGAAACAAUUAUAGGAAAAAUUGGUAUAUAAAAAGACCACAUGCCAAACAAAGAAACCGACAAAAUCUAACAUUGCAGACAGCGACAAGAUCGACCAUCUCCAUAACAAUAAGAUCAGGAAUAGGCUUCCACGCGUCCCCAACACGCCAAAAUUAGUGAAAAUCCAGAACCAGAUCUAGGAGAAAGGUAACAUAUUUUCCAUAGUCAUCUCCGGUAACAAACAGAAAGCUAACCCUACAUCCAGAUCCAUCAACACUAAAGUCAUUAGAUCCAGAUCCAUGAAUGACAAAUCCAGUUCAUAAACCGUUCUGAGAGGACACAAAGAGAACCUUGCAAGAUAUCAAAAGACACAAACUAGCUAAGAAAUCUCCCACGGUGCCGACGACAAAGCGCCGGACACCAUGGAAAUUGAAACCAUAGCAAACUCUUAGGAAGUCUUCUACGUCAAUGUUUAAUAAACUUUCAUUUUCUCUACAAUUAAAAUUAUUUUUUAAUAUUUUAUUAUUAAUUAAUGUGUAUUAGUCAAUAUUGGAGCUCUUGGAUGAAAUUCAAAACUUAUUUGGUGAUAAUUAUGAGAUUUCAAAUAUUUAUGUUUACUAAUGUUUCUAGCUAAUCCGAAAAGACUUCUAAGAAAAGACUUUAGAAGUCUUCUACGUUAGAUUUUCAAGAAGUGUAAAGUAACUUCAAGGUAUAUUUUUAACUUUCAAAAGUUUUAAGUAGCUUCAAGAAUAUAAAGUCAUAUGGUUUAUGUGUAUUUUUGGAUCAUAAGAUAUAAUUUUAACUUACAUGAGAUUUUAAAUUUCAACUUUCACUUAAAAUUCAUGUUUGAUCUUUUGUGAAUUUGACU